UAAACGAUGAAUACUAGGUGUGGGGGUUGUCAUGACCUCCGUGCCGCCGCUAACGCAUUAAGUAUUCCGCCUGGGGAGUACGGUCGCAAGAUUAAAACUCAAAGGAAUUGACGGGGGCCCGCACAAGCAGCGGAGCAUGUGGUUUAAUUCGAAGCAACGCGAAGAACCUUACCUAGACUUGACAUCUCCUGAAUUACUCUGUAAUGGAGGAAGCCACUUCGGUGGCAGGAAGACAGGUGGUGCAUGGUUGUCGUCAGCUCGUGUCGUGAGAUGUUGGGUUAAGUCCCGCAACGAGCGCAACCCUUAUUGUUAGUUGCUACCAUUUAGUUGAGCACUCUAGCGAGACUGCCCGGGUUAACCAGGAGGAAGGUGGGGAUGACGUCAAAUCAUCAUGCCCCUUAUGUCUAGGGCUACACACGUGCUACAAUGGCUGGUACAGAGAGAUGCGAUACCGCGAGGUGGAGCCAAACUUCAAAACCAGUCUCAGUUCGGAUUGUAGGCUGAAACUCGCCUACAUGAAGCUGGAGUUGCUAGUAAUCGCGAAUCAGAAUGCCGCGGUGAAUACGUUCCCGGGCCUUGUACACACCGCCCGUCACACCAUGAGAGUUGGCAAUACCCAAAGUUCGUGAGCUAACGCGCAAGCGAGGCAGCGACCUAAGGUAGGGUCAGCGAUUGGGGUGAAGUCGUAACAAGGUAACCGUAAAGGG
This 707-nucleotide ribosomal RNA is filed under the name uncultured bacterium. RNAcentral's name for it is "bacterial SSU rRNA". It matches the Rfam family "Bacterial small subunit ribosomal RNA", at positions 803 to 1509 of the family's 1533-position model. The record is from RNAcentral.